Molecule: non-coding RNA, 265 nt
Organism: Arachis ipaensis
Lineage: Eukaryota; Viridiplantae; Streptophyta; Magnoliopsida; Fabales; Fabaceae
Source: RefSeq, a predicted model, not a curated record
ACAAAGGCAGAAUGAAGCCAUGUUAAGAGUCAUGUUAAUUCAAUUAACGUGAACUCUAAAGUGGGAGGAGGAAGAAAUUGCCAACGUUAGUGGCACUCACCUUUGUCACUAACGUUGGAGAUAGCAAUUGCCACCACGUUAGUGGCGACGUUAAUCUAAUUAACGUGAACUCUAACGUGGGAAGGAGGGGCGUUUGGAGCGUUAGUGACAAAGGUAAGUGUCACUAACGCUCUCGAAGCUUAGGCAUGCCCACGUUAAGGGUCAC